ACACUGCUGACGAGUCCCAAACAGGACGAAACGGCUAUCCAGUUAU
Molecule: non-coding RNA, 46 nt
Organism: Echinostoma caproni
Lineage: Eukaryota; Metazoa; Platyhelminthes; Trematoda; Plagiorchiida; Echinostomatidae
Source: Rfam